GCCCUCACGUGACCCGGAGCUGCAGAGCGACGCAGCCUUGGGUGCAGUCGUCACUCGCGUCUGGCUAGCAGCUCCCCGCCGCCCAGCGCACGGCGGGCUGGCAUCGGGCCCGGGGAAAGCGGAGCAGUUUGAUGUGGCACUGUUUGUGGUGAGGCGAGGGAAGAAGAGAAAACCGCACGGAAUCUAUGGAGGUCUUCACAUAAGCUUGCAGUAGGGCUGUUUGCCACUGGAAAUAAGGGAAAGAGGGCAAGACCAGCCUGGAACUAUAGAGGUU
Long non-coding RNA from Dipodomys ordii (Ord's kangaroo rat), 274 nucleotides. RefSeq lists it as uncharacterized. The record is from RefSeq and is a predicted model, not a curated record. NCBI's taxonomy places the organism in Eukaryota, Metazoa, Chordata, Mammalia, Rodentia, Heteromyidae. The transcript has 3 exons.